AUUGAACGCUGGCGGCAUGCCUUACACAUGCAAGUCGAACGGUAACAGGUCUUCGGAUGCUGACGAGUGGCGAACGGGUGAGUAAUACAUCGGGACGUGCCUAGUAGUGGGGGAUAACUACUCGAAAGAGUGGCUAAUACCGCAUGAGAUCUACGGAUGAAAGCAGGGGAUCGCAAGACCUUGUGCUACUAGAGCGGCCGAUGGCAGAUUAGGUAGUUGGUGGGAUAAAAGCUUACCAAGCCGACGAUCUGUAGCUGGUCUGAGAGGACGAUCAGCCACACUGGGACUGAGACACGGCCCAGACUCCUACGGGAGGCAGCAGUGGGGAAUUUUGGACAAUGGGCGAAAGCCUGAUCCAGCAAUGCCGCGUGCAGGAUGAAGGCUUUCGGGUUGUAAACUGCUUUUGUACGGAACGAAAAGCCCUGGGUUAAUACCCUGGGGUCAUGACGGUACCGUAAGAAUAAGCACCGGCUAACUACGUGCCAGCAGCCGCGGUAA
This 498-nucleotide ribosomal RNA is filed under the name uncultured bacterium. RNAcentral's name for it is "partial 16S ribosomal RNA". It matches the Rfam family "Bacterial small subunit ribosomal RNA", at positions 30 to 523 of the family's 1533-position model. The record is from RNAcentral.